This 253-nucleotide ribosomal RNA is filed under the name uncultured bacterium. Its description in RNAcentral is "partial 16S ribosomal RNA". It matches the Rfam family "Bacterial small subunit ribosomal RNA", at positions 524 to 776 of the family's 1533-position model. The record is from RNAcentral.
UACGUAGGGGGCAAGCGUUAUCCGGAUUUACUGGGUGUAAAGGGAGCGUAGACGGAAUUGCAAGUCUGAUGUGAAAAUCCGGGGCCCAACCCCGGAACUGCAUUGGAAGCUGUAUUUCUAGAGUGUCGGAGAGGCAAGUGGAAUUCCUGGUGUAGCGGUGAAAUGCGUAGAUAUCAGGAGGAACACCAGUGGCGAAGGCGGCUUGCUGGACGAUGACUGACGUUGAGGCUCGAAAGCGUGGGGAGCAAACAGG